GUUGAGGUCUAUCCCGAUUGGAUCUUGCUGUAGGUUCUUAUCGUUGGAAAUGCCUCAUAGAGCAGAUUUGUGGUUUCGCUUUACCCACUAAACUAUGUGUUAGAUUAGUGGGAUAAAACUGCAAGACAAUA
Rhineura floridana is the source of this 131-nucleotide small nucleolar RNA. The record is from RefSeq and is a predicted model, not a curated record. NCBI's taxonomy places the organism in Eukaryota, Metazoa, Chordata, Lepidosauria, Squamata, Rhineuridae.